RNAcentral lists this long non-coding RNA (3179 nucleotides) under Sorghum bicolor (sorghum). Its description in RNAcentral is "long non-coding RNA (SBIC_LNC016817)". The record is from RNAcentral. Lineage: Eukaryota; Viridiplantae; Streptophyta; Magnoliopsida; Poales; Poaceae.
GUGGGUGGAUUUAAUAUGUAUCAUCAGUUCACCCUUUAGAGUAUGAGAAUUCUAAACUACAAUCAAAUUAUAUUCAAUUAUUCAUUCAUAAGGUGACUCGGCCAGCGAACCAAGGUGAGGCUUCGUCGCACUCGAGGCACACAUAGUGUCAUAGAGUACACAAUUGCAACAUCCCACGCGGCCAUGUAUCAGCGUAUGCCAUGCCGAUGGAGAACCAGUCUAAGUGUCCCCUCCAUUCUGCACCUAUCAAUCUCUUUGAUAUUCCUCUCGCCUACUAUUAACAAUUGCAGAGUAAGAUCUUUUUAGGUCAAGAACAUUCAAAAGCAUGGUGAGACAACUGAAUGGGACAGGAAAGCAAGUGACAUGCAUUCUACAAAGUAGUAUGAAAUUAAUAGGCAAAUAGCUAAUAAAAUAAAAAUAAUGUUACUUGGUGCAUUAUAUGUGUCACCUGAUAUGCCUUCCCUUCUUUGGCCUCCCAUAUACAUACAUCUUAUAGCCCUCAUUUGGAUCUCCUUCCCAGUUCCCAGUGUUAAAUUUCCAAGUCUUAUAAACCUGAAGAUAUUUAUCAAGAAUGUAGAAAUGUAAUUUUCAGAGGCUUAUAUAGUUGCACUACAUUUCCAUAGGGAAACAAUAUCAUCGAAGAGUGAUAGUCAUUAUGCUUGUUAGUAGGGAGUAGUAAGUUCCUGUUCGGAAGCUGUCGCAUAAAGAUAACGACAUCAUGCUCCUCUUGCUCAUCCCUCAUAACAUCUUCAAUUUUUAAGAGAGAGGCCCAAUGCUCCACCUCUAGUAAAUGCCAGUUUGCUGAUGCAUUACUGACAAGAUAAUCAUGGUUACCUAUCCAAGCAUUGUCAUACACCCCAUUUCCCCUACCAUCAUGCUAUUGAAUUUAAUACAAUACAAAAAUAGCAGAGAACAAAGUAAGGUGACCAUACUUAAGCUUGAAAACACUGGUAAAAAAUACAAAUCAUGCACUGGGAAUAGUCAGUGGGAAUUGACCAUACAUACCUAAUCGAGAAGUGGUAAACUAACAAAUGGUGAGAAAGAUUAGCAGUUGAGCCCAACCUCGGUCAGUAUGAAGCGAAUACCAUCUAUGCGUAGUACAUAUUGGCUAUAGGAUCAUAUAAUGUCUGGACGAACUUGAGCCCUUGCUGCCAUAUUACAGGGAAGAGAGAUGGAUAGCAGAUGCACCAUCCUUCAGUUUCUCAUUACUGACAAGAUAUUCUGUUUUUCAGUCAAGUUUCAGAAAGCUCAUACUAAAUUAUUCAAAACUACAAAGGAAAUUCACAGAAGUACAAAAAAUAUUUUUUUUUGAAAAAUAGAAGCCCUAUGAAUUGUUUUUAUUUACCCAAUCUAGAAAAGCAGCACUGAAUAAAAGUGUUUGUAGCUCGGUAGCAUCCUCAACCUUUCCUGCCACUUUUAGCAAUACUGUGCCUUUGAAAUAAUGUGCCCAAUAAAUCUUAUUAUUGCCAAAAAAAUUUAAAUAGGUCAUUAAUGGCUUUCAGUUGCUAAUCAUCUUGAAGGAAAGAUGUAUAUGAACCAAUAGAAUAACCCUGGUCCUUUCCUUCAGUAAAAGAACCAUAGAGGAUUAAACGAAAACUAUUUUUGAUGAAAGCACAAAUACAUGAGUGGACAAAAAAGUAAUUAAUGCUCAAAAUUCAGAGCUUCUUUUUUUUUGCAGACUAACCUGUUUAUCAGAGUAUUAGUAUGUGAUUCACCUAUAUUUAUUUUGUCAAACAUUAGAUGCAAUAUUCCGUGUUGAGGUUUUCAGAUGAAGGCAAAUUCCUGACACCUUUGAAGUGAAACUUUAAUGAGCUAGAGAGCUAUUAUCCAUUUUCAUGUACUCUGUAUUUAAAUGAACUUGGUUGUAUUUCAUAUAAACUUUAGGCAGUUUAUUACUACCUGCAAGUGAUAGCAAUUCUACUAAUUCAACAAAAUUGACAUCUACUAUGAUGCAAGUGAUAGCAAGUUAGCCAAUUUGUCAUGGUUGCUUGUCAGACUCUGAAGGAAACAUCCAAGAAUCCCUAUCUGAGUAUCUCAAAUCAGAUCCAUUCAACCAAAAAUCCACAACACUAUGAUGAUAUAAAAAAUAUUAUAUUUAGUUUGCAAUUGGGAAUCAGAUCAUGUAUUCUGAAUAAAAGGCAUUUAUUUUGCAAUUGAGAAUCCAACAAGGAUAUAUUACCUUGAAGCUUGUUGCUCUCUUAGCCGAGACAAAAGUGAAAUAAUUUCUUCUUGUCCUAAAAGAAAAAUCAUUAAACAACCAAUUCAUAAGGCGAGAAAAGAAACCAAGGAACUUGAGAGAGCAUAAUCGCUUACUAUGUGGUUGUAUACCUGUGUUUAAUCUGCUUGAAGAACUAAUAGCUCAGAAUAACACUUAGAGAGACUUCACAGUUUACUUUUCUGUUGGCCAUAAGUAUUUAAGGUUCCAGCACGGCCAACAAGACCCUGUCCACUAUGCAUUGCAAACAAGACAUGCAGUGGACACAAUUUUUACAGUUCAGGCAAAAGAUUGUUCCAAUAUGAUUAGUUUGUUUAAGAGUAACUACAGAGGGUAAAGUACAAGUAGAAUGGUUCCCAAAUACAUAAUAAGACAUAAUAUCAAUUUAAAUGUUGGAUACAAAUAGGCCAAACAAUAUUUUUACACACAAAAAAGAUGUGAAAGAAUAAAGUCCAAUGUGACAAGAGAUGCAUUUGAUUCCUGAACUGAAAUACGACAGCAUCUAAUGCAAAUGCAGGGAGUAAGCCUUCAGAGUAGGUACCGAUGGUAAAACCCAAAUCAUGCAGUAUGUACUUCUCAGCUGCAUUCUGUAGGCAAGUACAUACUUCUCAGCUAGGUAAGUCUGUAGCUAAUCUCUAGUAGUAUUCCAAUCAGAGUAGACAUCUAAGUAUUUCGCUAAGCUGUAAUAAAUACUUCUCAGCUAGGUAUUUCUCUAAUCUAUAGAAUGUACUUCGAUCUACUCAAUUUGCGCACAAAUGCACAUCAUUAAAAUCAGAAAAAAACAAAGUAAAACUCAUUAGUACAUCCGCUGCCAGGGAUGUUUGCUUGUGCACGUACCAAACUUGAGGGAUUGGCCAGCUUAUCAAUGCUCUGGCAUGAUAUCGCCUUCUGCCCGGCGUCGACAGCCCUCGCGUGAGCACAAAUUCCAUACCGCCCCCACAAACUACUCGUCCUUGCAAGGCUG